Long non-coding RNA from Xenia sp. Carnegie-2017, 527 nucleotides. RefSeq lists it as uncharacterized. The transcript is spliced from 3 exons. NCBI's taxonomy places the organism in Eukaryota, Metazoa, Cnidaria, Anthozoa, Malacalcyonacea, Xeniidae. The record is from RefSeq and is a predicted model, not a curated record.
UCAUAACAAUGACUAAUUUGCUAUAUGAAAUAGAAAUAUGUUUCGCUCUCUUGCAAAAUAAAUUGUAACAUUUCUUUAUUUCAAAAUAUAAGCGUUUAAAUGGAAGAAAGGUUACGUGAAGAGAAAUUCAAAGCUAUGAAACUGCCAGAAUUAAAAAGUUAACUGCAGAGUAGAGGUUUGAUGGGAAUUUUUAAGCUACGGCGAAUUUUACGAAGAAGAUUGAAAACCAAACGUUCACCCUGUUUACCUAGAUAUGGUAUUCUAAUGAAAAUUUUACGAAGUACAAUGUUAAUGGUUUUACGCAAAGGCACGUUGGUGAAAAGGGAUUCAACAUCAAAAGAGACAAACUUAUAACCUUGGGAAAAUAGAUCUUUAGGUAUAGAUUUAAUAGCAUCAGUAGCAUCGAAAGAGUCUUGUAAUGAAAAUUUAUUUAGGGUGAGUGGAUUCAAAAGGUUUGCAAUGAAUUUGCCUACGUUGUAGUGUGAGUAGAGGUAUAACCGUAAGUAGUUAUCUGAAGCCGGGACUAU